This 253-nucleotide ribosomal RNA is filed under the name uncultured bacterium. RNAcentral describes it as "partial 16S ribosomal RNA". It matches the Rfam family "Bacterial small subunit ribosomal RNA", at positions 524 to 776 of the family's 1533-position model. The record is from RNAcentral.
UACGGGGGGGGCAAGCGUUGUUCGGAAUUACUGGGCGUAAAGGGCGUGUAGGCGGCCAACUAAGUCUGACGUGAAAUCCCCAGGCUCAACCUGGGAACUGCGUCGGAUACUGGAUGGCUUGAAUUCGGGAGAGGGAUGCAGAAUUCCAGGUGUAGCGGUGAAAUGCGUAGAUAUCUGGAGGAAUACCGGUGGCGAAGGCGGCAUCCUGGACCGAGAUUGACGCUGAAGCGCGAAAGCUAGGGGAGCAAACGGG